CCCCACGAUACAUAUAUCUUUUACGUACUGAUACAGUACUACUAACACCGUCUUUGGGAUUCUCGCUCCUCUCAGUCAUUCCAAGAGCCACAUCAAUCAGUUCUUCGAUUGGCUUUUGUUCCCUCAAGACCCGGUUGCUUUCGUCCUUGUUUCGCCUUUCGACACACAUGAGUCACAUGAGUUUCUGCUGGGGUGUGCAGCUCACUCCAGUCACAGAAAACGCCCUACUUGCAAACAGUACAACACUCCACUUCCUGUCUUGGACAAGAAAUACCUGGCAAUCCUGUUCGGAUUUUGCAGAUUGCGACCAUUAUUCCAUAAUCGCAAUUCACUUCACUUAAUACCGGCCCAAUUAUCAGCCCUACGAAAAUCUAUUUGAAUUUUGGCGAGCUUUUAAGAUCUGAAGAUAAAUGCCCUAUAUCGACUCCCCUCUCCCAGAAUUCCAAGGACAAGGUUAUCAGGAAGAUCCUCAGCACAAAAAUUAUCGUACGGAGCAAAAAGGACUACAGAUCAAGACAGUAAUGGCAUUAUCACCUCUUCUCGCGAUGUUGUCGAUCUUCUACCCCUAAACAACUUCCUUGGGCGACCGCAUCUGUCCAUGCAUUGUGCUAUCACGAUCUUGCACUCUUUCAUGGGUGUCUGAUUAGUUCCCAACACAUCACCGAGAGAAGAGGAAAACAAGGUGAUCGGUCGACUCCUGAUGAGAGGUAUCCUUUUCUUUGAUAUGUCUCAGUGUAAGGUGGUCAGAAGGGGGGUGGAGUAAUUAUAGGAUUCCCAAUAUGCAACACCUCCCGUAUAUGCCUCUCUUCGCCUCAUCUCCCCACGCUCACGCAUAUCUACGACAAUAGCCUAGUUACAAACCUGGUACCAACCCAUCCCACCCUGUUUCUCCCAGAAGUUGAAUUACUACAAUUCCUCCUAGAGACAAUUUGGAAGCUUUGCCCACCCUCGCAUCCAUCGCUCGACUCCAGUCAAAUGUCCUUCCUAGAAGCGACCAUCGCUGGCUUCGGGAACACUUGGUGACUGCAUCGAGGCAAGGUCACCGAAGACUUCUUCCCAACGGAGGAACGACCAAGUAGAGGAGACCAAGGAAAAGACAAGUGCCACACUGCAGUUGCUAUGUUGGUUUUUGUCCGGCGAGAUGCCAGGCCAGGGAGAAAAAGAAAGAGAAGAGAAGGAAGAAGAGGCCGAGGAGCACUUUGGGGUGAAAAGCAUUGUUUCUGGCACAUCCUCUCCAGAAGUUGACUCAUGAUAUGUGUCAAGAAUAGGUUUCUACGUUGCACGAGGAAUGAAAGAAGGAACAGAGCAUUUACUAUAUAUUCCUUUCCGUGCCUCGGGACCUUAAACCUCGCUAAACCUCUUCACCAAUCCUUCCCAGUUGGAUCACUCUCCGUUACAUCCCAACAGUGUGGGGGAGGAUGGCCUUCUUUCCGUCUUGUGACGCCAAAUGUGGCACUAAUUGUCGCUGGGAGCCCUUUGGACAGUCCUCUGGGAUCACUUGGACUUGCCGUUGUUGGCGGUCGUACGUGGUUUGGGCUCAUCUUGAGUAACUAUAUACAAAGUGUGAUCAGUUAAAGUCAAAGAAGUAGAUUGGGCCCAUAUACGAACUGGGACGGAAGCAAAGUCUUGGUGAUAGAAGGUUUAGGUGAGAAGGACUAUAUGUUUGUCGUGGAUUGAGUAGAAAGGAAAGAGGAAAGGCAAAAUUUUGUAACCAUAAUAACCUGUUGCAACCUCAAGUCGGUUGCGUACUACUUUGCAUCCAAAGAAGAAGAAAGGGGAAAAGCGAGCUAUAUAUAGGAAGAACGAAGGAAGGUCUGUGCGAGAAGUGGCAAUACCGAAUGUGGCGGUUGAGUCGACGACGCUAUGAACUUGCCCAUAAUAUCGAUCACUGCGUUAAUUCAAAGGACCGUUGAUCGUGCACGGAUAUUGGUCCACUCAAACAACGAACAUAAUAGGUCUAAGUCCAACAAAGUACACUGCACUUGUUUGUACAAGGAACGAGGGUAGAGUGGAGGCCGCAGCACAAGGAUGAAAAGAAUUGGAGUUACGGGACCGAGUUUGUCACGAUGUUAUGCAUUAUGAGUCGUAAUCCCCGA
RNAcentral lists this small RNA (2096 nucleotides) under Cryptococcus neoformans H99. RNAcentral's name for it is "Cryptococcus neoformans var. grubii H99 hypothetical RNA". The record is from RNAcentral. Lineage: Eukaryota; Fungi; Basidiomycota; Tremellomycetes; Tremellales; Cryptococcaceae.